RNAcentral lists this ribosomal RNA (253 nucleotides) under uncultured bacterium. Its description in RNAcentral is "partial 16S ribosomal RNA". It matches the Rfam family "Bacterial small subunit ribosomal RNA", at positions 524 to 776 of the family's 1533-position model. The record is from RNAcentral.
UACGUAGGGGGCAAGCGUUAUCCGGAUUUAUUGGGUUUAAAGGGAGCGUAGGUGGAUUGUUAAGUCAGUUGUGAAAGUUUGCGGCUCAACCGUAAAAUUGCAGUUGAAACUGGCAGUCUUGAGUACAGUAGAGGUGGGCGGAAUUCGUGGUGUAGCGGUGAAAUGCUUAGAUAUCACGAAGAACUCCGAUUGCGAAGGCAGCUCACUGGACUGCAACUGACACUGAGGCUCGAAAGUGUGGGUAUCAAACAGG